Molecule: ribosomal RNA, 450 nt
Filed under: uncultured bacterium
Lineage: Bacteria
Description: partial 16S ribosomal RNA
Rfam family: Bacterial small subunit ribosomal RNA
Source: RNAcentral
GUGGGGAAUAUUGCACAAUGGGCGCAAGCCUGAUGCAGCCAUGCCGCGUGUGUGAAGAAGGCCUUCGGGUUGUAAAGCACUUUCAGCGGGGAGGAAGGCGAUAAGGUUAAUAACCUUGUCGAUUGACGUUACCCGCAGAAGAAGCACCGGCUAACUCCGUGCCAGCAGCCGCGGUAAUACGGAGGGUGCAAGCGUUAAUCGGAAUUACUGGGCGUAAAGCGCACGCAGGCGGUCUGUCAAGUCGGAUGUGAAAUCCCCGGGCUCAACCUGGGAACUGCAUUCGAAACUGGCAGGCUAGAGUCUUGUAGAGGGGGGUAGAAUUCCAGGUGUAGCGGUGAAAUGCGUAGAGAUCUGGAGGAAUACCGGUGGCGAAGGCGGCCCCCUGGACAAAGACUGACGCUCAGGUGCGAAAGCGUGGGGAGCAAACAGGAUUAGAAACCCUUGUAGUCC